ACGUUUUUAUGUCGCCCUGUAUAGUGACGAGGUCAUUGACAGCAGCUAAUCUAUGAAGGUAAAUAAUAGCUGUUUUGGUUAUUUAUUUGGCGAUUUCAACAAAAUUACUUCAUUUUAUGUCUUCAUUGCUUUUUAACCUGUGUAAAAAUAUAAGAAUAUCUGUAAAAUCUGAAUUAGCAUAAAAAGAUGCUCCUGCCCCGGCUAUCGUUAAAGGCUAACGUUAUGAGAAACGCUUCGCAAAUAGCAUUAACGGUACUUCGAGCUAACAUUUUUUAACUUGUAAUAAUGCUAACAAAGUGAAUCGCUGUCGGUUAACGGUUUUGUUGCUCUGUUUCUACAUUUAGUGAUGAACUCCUCGCCAGAGACGCUCCAUAGCCUUGAAUGGGGAAGCUUUGCCAUUUCUUUCGCUGGAAUCUUCAAUUGAAAACAUCAAGAUCAUUAACCUGUGUCAGCCUGGACAGACUUCUGUUUCAGUUCUGACUGCACCACACUAAUCUCUCUGCUUAUGUGGAUCACUGACUACUAUGUUCUCUGAAGCGGAUGCCCUUCCAGCCUCAACCCAUCUCUGGGAAACAUCCACACACACUCAUUCACUACAGACAAUUUUAGCCUACCCAAUUCACCUGUACCGCAUGUCUUUGGACAGUGGGGGAACCCGGAGCACCUGGAGGAAACCCAUGUAAACACAGGGAGAACAUGCACAGAGACGCCAACUGACCCAGCCAAGGCUCGAACCAGCGACAUUCUUGCUGUGAGGUGAC
This is a long non-coding RNA of Danio aesculapii, 761 nucleotides long. RefSeq lists it as uncharacterized. The transcript is spliced from 3 exons. NCBI's taxonomy places the organism in Eukaryota, Metazoa, Chordata, Actinopteri, Cypriniformes, Danionidae. The record is from RefSeq and is a predicted model, not a curated record.